RNAcentral lists this ribosomal RNA (467 nucleotides) under uncultured bacterium. RNAcentral's name for it is "partial 16S ribosomal RNA". It matches the Rfam family "Bacterial small subunit ribosomal RNA", at positions 29 to 507 of the family's 1533-position model. The record is from RNAcentral.
ACGAACGCUGGCGGCGUGCUUAACCCAUGCAAGUCGAACGGAAAGGCCCUGCUUUUGUGGGGUGCUCGAGUGGCGAACGGGUGAGUAACACGUGAGUAACCUGCCCUUGACUUUGGGAUAACUUCAGGAAACUGGGGCUAAUACCGGAUAGGAGCUCCUGCUUCAUGGUGGGGGUUGGAAAGUUUCGGCGGUUGGGGAUGGACUCGCGGCUUAUCAGCUUGUUGGUGGGGUAGUGGCUUACCAAGGCUUUGACGGGUAGCCGGCCUGAGAGGGUGACCGGCCACAUUGGGACUGAGAUACGGCCCAGACUCCUACGGGAGGCAGCAGUGGGGAAUAUUGCACAAUGGGCGGAAGCCUGAUGCAGCAACGCCGCGUGCGGGAUGACGGCCUUCGGGUUGUAAACCGCUUUCGCCUGUGACGAAGCGUGAGUGACGGUAAUGGGUAAAGAAGCACCGGCUAACUACGUG